UCGCUCGGGCGUUUCUCGCGGCGCCAGCACUCGAUUUUGUAGCCGUCCAUUUCUGUGUUGACUUUUGUCCUGCGCGUUGGAUACAAUCUGGUGGGGUUUCUUUUUCUUUUGUUACUGUGCUGUGGGCCCCUUUUGUCAGCAUCUGGUUUUAUUUGUUGAUUUUCUGGAGACGCUCCAGUUUACUUUGGAGUGUAGUUGGUGAGCCCUGGUUUCCACUCUCUCGUCGCAGUCGCUGAGGUCUGCCCAUCUCCAAGGGCACCGGUGUUUCUGCAGUUUGGCCUGGUGAACAUCAACUUCAUCACUUGUGGCUCCGCUGCACAGGAGUUGCUCAAGGGUUUGCUGGGAGGCUUAGAUGCCAAUGCAAUUUUUGGUCAGCUCCCGAGGAUGUUGGCCUUCAGUAUAGGUUGAGGCCUGAUGUACCAGUGAGUUUCUUCAUAUUUUUUUAGGCAUGUGAGCUCUUUCAUCUCCUCUUAUAAAGUCUGAAUGAGUGUUAUUUCUAUAUUGGAAUGCAAAUGCAAUAGUGAAGUAAUUCUUGCUUUGAACUUCUAAUCACUUUAACUUGGUCUGCUAGUGGUUAAUUGCUACAACUACUUGCACACGAGCCUGAUCCAUUUUGUAGUCAAUCAUAACAUUGCUUAGUUAAAUCCUUUAGCUCUUAUUUCACUGGAUUGACACAACAAUAGCUACCGUGUUUGUCAGACCACAUCAUUUCACAAACCUUUAUUCAGUUUGGCUCAGCAAAUUAGCAGCUCAGCAUUUCAGCUUGAAUUGUCAUCCUGUUCUGUGCUUUUGUGCAUGUCGACAUAGGAGCAACAGCUCACUCUUUUUAGCGUCUCAUUUUUCCUUUUUGCCAUCUUGUGCAUUCAAGAUAGACUAUUCAAUAGCUAUUGGCUAAUCAUUGCAUUGGAUUUGUGCUAAUUCUUCUCAAAUUUGUGCUAUCUUUUUUAUAUAUGGAAAUAUAAGUAGUAUAAUCUUUAUGUAUAUUGGAAAAUUUUAAAUCUUAAACUAUGCAAUCAAGUUAGUUAUUAUAUAGAUGUUUAUAAUUGUAUUUUAGUACUUACAGUUCAAUCAUAUAAAAGUUACAGUGACUUCAAACUGUAAUUCAUAUGUAAUGGUGGUGUAACAUGUUCAUAUAUUUGUCCUUGGCCCAUGAUUAGUUGAAAUUUUCAUAUCUGUGUUGUUUCAUUCAGUCCAAACUAUUUUGGCAAUUGACUGAACAUAGAAACAAUGUUAUCAUU
Molecule: long non-coding RNA, 1238 nt
Organism: Panicum virgatum (switchgrass)
Lineage: Eukaryota; Viridiplantae; Streptophyta; Magnoliopsida; Poales; Poaceae
Exons: 2
Source: RefSeq, a predicted model, not a curated record